This 728-nucleotide long non-coding RNA is filed under the name Salvia miltiorrhiza (redroot sage). Its description in RNAcentral is "long non-coding RNA (SMIL_LNC005071)". Lineage: Eukaryota; Viridiplantae; Streptophyta; Magnoliopsida; Lamiales; Lamiaceae. The record is from RNAcentral.
UUUUUUUUUUUGUUUAAGGGGAGUUCAUAAGAUUUCUUUUAAAAUGUCAAUUCGGUAUUAAACUAGAAGUUUUACAUCAUUAUAUUAGAACCUGAUUAAACUAAACCCACAAAAAUAGGUUUGACAAACAAUUCAUACAUGUAUCAGCCCUUGUUAAAAUGAAAUCUUCGCCUAUAUGUACAAUAAAUUUCAAAAAACUAAAGUCACAGCUUAGACGUAAAGUGAGCAAAAUAUACUUGAAUUUAUAUUUUGAAGAAAUGAAGACAGUCGAAGCAUAAAAGCAUUGAAAUUUGCACCAUGUGAAAUUAUAUAUUUAUAUAGAACACAGGUUGUAGAAAUGCUUUCUUUAUAUGCGGUUUGUGUCAAAGCGGGUAUAAUUAAUAAGAAUUUUUCAGCUCACUGAUAUGGGCGAAAUUGACCCAACUCCUAUUGCAUGGCUACAUGCAUAUAAGAUGCUACAAAAGUCACUAGCUCUCUCUUUCACUAGUUGUAUAUCAUUCUCACCUCUAAUAAUAAAAUUUACAUCAUUUCAAUGUAUCAGCCAAAACUCAUACAUUGUUCAGCAACGGUGAUCAAAUUGUGACUAGGCAUCGCAAAACAUAACAAGUAAAAGAUGCUCUAGAAUAACUGAGAGCCUCUCUCUGCACUAGCUCAGUUGUUGCCGUCGUGCUAUCUAUUUUCUUCUCGGACACAUAUUUGCGCUUUCAAAUGUAGCAAGAGACUUAAUC